CCUACGGGAGGCAGCAGUGAGGAAUAUUGGUCAAUGGCCGGAAGGCUGAACCAGCCAAGUCGCGUGAGGGAUGACUGCCCUAUGGGUUGUAAACUUCUUUUAUAAGGGAAGAAUAAAUGCUACGUGUAGCAUGAUGCCUGUACCUUAUGAAUAAGCAUCGGCUAACUCCGUGCCAGCAGCCGCGGUAAUACGGAGGAUGCGAGCGUUAUCCGGAUUUAUUGGGUUUAAAGGGUGCGUAGGCGGUUUUUUAAGUGGGUGGUUAAACGUCGGGGGUUCACCUUGAAUUGCCAUUAAUACUGUCAGACUCGAGUGCAGUCGAGGUAGGCGGAAUAAGUGGAGUAGCGGUGAAAUGCUUAGAUAUAACGAAGAACUCCGAUAGCGAAGGCAGCUUACCAGACUGCGACUGACGCUGAAGCACGAGAGCGUGGGUAGCGAACAGGAUUAGAUACCCGUGUAGUC
This 459-nucleotide ribosomal RNA is filed under the name uncultured bacterium. Its description in RNAcentral is "partial 16S ribosomal RNA". It matches the Rfam family "Bacterial small subunit ribosomal RNA", at positions 338 to 795 of the family's 1533-position model. The record is from RNAcentral.